UAGUUUCCCUAAUCUUAAAUCCCUAGGCAUGAGGUCCCUUCAUAUAGAUGUUAAGUUGUAUUGUGCCUUUACUGUGGAUUCUGCACUGCUUUCGUUGCCCGUAGUUGUGGUUAGAUUUUUACAUGUUAGGACUGAAGAAGCCGUUCGUUUUCAUUUUCUCACUCCAGGCCCUUUAUCCUGUCAUUGAAAUGAGGCUUGCUGCUUGUCAACGAAAUGGAGAUGCGGCAGAACCAACAGGGGUUGACGGUAAUAUCCUGCAGUGUGAUAUAAACUGCAACUGCUGAGAAAACUCAACAGGUCUGGCAGCAUCUGUGCAGAAAAAUCUGAGUUAAUGUUUCAGGCCCAGUGACCCGUCUUCAGAACCCACUGCACCGCAUUUCUGCGUUAAUUUUUUGAAAAAAAACACAGUGGGUCAUUCUUAGAUACUUGGCAAUGGACUGUUACUUUCAGUUUCUCUUAGAGCAGGUCUAAGCACCUGAACUGUGUGCCAUGACUCAAUGGAUGGCACUCAAUUCUUGGUCUGAUGUAGGCUCAACAUCCAUUCCAGUAAGUUAAGUACAUAAUAUCGGCAGAUAUUCCUAAUACAGCCCAAGGAAGGAUGAGAUUUUAAACCUGUCUACACUCUCAGCUGGGCUACAUUGCAAAAAUCUUGAGCCUUGCAGUGCUCUACCUAAGUAUGACCCUUCACAGAUGAAUACUUGGACAGGAAAAGCUGGCAAUCUAUUUCCUUACAUAACACAUAUCAGCCCAAUUGCAUCCAGUAUAAAGGUGCGAACCAGAAACUGGCAUGGACCACUCGGCAUCAAGAAUAGAAAUUUUUAUUUUUGCUGUCUAUCAUUGCAGAAAAUUGUUUACAAUCUCAACCCCUGUCAACCACAACCCUAACCCAGCCCAUCUGAGUGAGCCGAAUACAUCACAAACUAAGGAGCAAACGUGGUUGGGUUUCUCUUGUCAUUUCGGUCUAAUAUUAUUCCCUUGUAUCCAACGUGCAGUGAAUUGUUAGUGUCUGAAAUGUACUGCCUCAGUGUGUGGCAGAGAUGGGUUAGGUGCUGUGGCAUUCCAAAGGGAGUGAGAUUGUUAUCUGAAUGUGCUGGGUUAUGGAGUUUGCUUGCAGUGGGAGGCUGGAGGAUGACAUAAAGUAAAUUGCUCAUUCAGAAAGCAAGUGGAGGGAAAAAAUGGGCUUUCUCGGCACUAUAAUAUUUCUAUGAUUCUGUGAACAGAGUCAAAUUUCAAGAUACAGAUGAUAUUAGGUAUCAAAGAUUAAGAGGAAAUGGAAUUUACAAGUUGAUUGAAAGAAUUAACAGGGUCAAUAGAGAGAAACAAUUUCUUCUGCGGGGGGGGGGAUGGUAGCUCAGAACAAAGGGACAUAAACUGAAGUUAGAAGUUAGGGCUUUUUCGAGUGGUGUAAAACACUUCUUCACUUAGUUGGAAUCUGGAUAGGACCCACUAAGAUCACAAGGGUAAUCCCUGGUAUAGAGAGAUUGUCUCACAAACAAAGAUUAAACAGGUUGGGACUCUACUCAUUGGUGUUUAGAAGAAUGUGAGGUGAUGUCAUUGAAAUACAUAGGAUUCUUAAAACACUGGACAGGAUAAAUGCUGAGAGGAUGUUCCCACUGAUCGGAGAGUGUAGGAGCACAGUGCAUAGUCUCAGAAUAAAAGGUCUCCAAUGUAAGACUGAGAUACGGAAGAAUUUCUUCUCUCAGAGGAUUGUAAGUCUUUAGAAGUCCUUGCCACAGAGAGCUGUGGGGCAGAGUCCUUCCGUAUAUUUAAGGCUGCAGCAGAUAGGCUACUGAUCAGUAGGGAAACAAGGAAUAUGGGGAAGGGACAGGAAAGCGCCUGCGAAGGACACUGGGCCAGUCACAAUCCGACUGAAUGGCAGGCCAGGCUUUGGGAUCAAACAUCCUACUCCUGUUCCUAUUUUUUCUGGUCCUACAAUUCCACAUGACGGAAUGACCAGUUCGUAUAUUGUUGUUUAAUUGGGUGAAGGAGAUAUAUUGACCAGCGUAUUUUCUACUCAUCAAACAGAGGUUUUAAUUGGAACUUCUGGAACUGGUACAUGGGGUUUUUCUGUAUUGGCUGAGCUGAUGAUAAACGCUUUUAAAAUUUGAAAAUACAGUCUCGAUGCAAAUUCAGUGCCAUGUGGUACUUUCACUUCAAUUUCUGAAACACUCAUAUGGCCUUGUUCCUCUUAAGCCCUCUUGUUCUUCAGACCCCAGCAGCUCUCUGUUCCUCCAGCUCUGGCCUCCUGUGCAUCCUCUAUGUCUCUUCGCCACAACAUUGUAGCCUGUGCCGCCAACUGUAAAGUCUCAUCCUUCUGAAAGUUUUCUUCACACCCUCUCCCUUGUGCUUUUGUUGAAAAGGUCCUUUUCAAAGCUCACCAAUUUGACAAAUAUUUGGUCACCCCCAUUGACAUGUCCUGAAAGUGACCUCCAAUCCUCUUUGGCAGCAAGUCAGCAAAAAUCCCAGAGAAAAGGUGCAAUCAAUCACUUAUGCCACUGCUUCGGGUUUUCCACUCAUCUCCGGUCAGUGAUCGAAUCGAAGUUUGAGAGGUGCCUGUAAAAAUCUCAAACUUAAUAAAAACUGAAAGAACAGUGAUGCUGCAAAUCAGGAAAAACACAAAGUCUCUAGAAAAGCUCUGCAGGUUGGGCGGCAUCUGUGAAGGUAAAAAACAGGGUUCAUGUUUCAGGUCCGAUGACGCUUCCUCAGAACUAAAUCUCAAACUUGUUGUGUUCACACUGGUUGGGAAAUCAUGGUCUUCGAAGCUGAGAAAAGGUGAGUCUUAACUUAGUGUUUAAAAGCUUGUGGAUAAGGGGAGACAAGCUGGGUGAGGUGUGUUGUUUGGAGACACUGCAGAAAAAUGAACCAGAGUUGGCAAAAAUGCCAUGGAUGAUCUAACAUUGUGUGCUUUCUAGAAGGGUCUUGAACUUGUUUUUGUUUUUAGUUCACUUCAUUCUUGCUUUGUUCUUUUUUGUGUUUAGAUUCAGGAUCAAUUUGUGCCUGGCAAUUGAGUAAAAUUGUUGAAUGGAGAGCAAUUUUCAUUUCUGCAUUAUUUUCUACCAUUCUUUUAGGCCAAAGUAUAAUAGAAUCAUUGUGCAUAAAUUGUCAGCAUCAUACACUGAAUUUAGAAUGCAGGGCUCUUCUAUAAUUGCAUGCAAUUCUCAUUUAAUGAAUCCCUAGAGCUUCAUAAAUCACAGCAGUUAUACUUGAGGCAGAUUUAUAUAUUAAUCUGACAACGAAGGAUGCAUUAAACACUUAAUUCAAAUGUGCCUUAUAGCGCAUGUGUAUUACUCUCACUUCACAAAUAAUAUUUGGAAAUGUGAGCUUACUUUAAGCCAGAACCACCUUUUUAGUUGAUUGCAGAUUCAAAUACUAUUCCAUGAUGUUGGCAUAUUCUAAAAUGAGACACUGUGAGAGUACAGCAUUGUUGGAGGUGCUAACUUAUGAAUGAACCUACAUUUUUUUUAUUCAUUCAUGGGAUGAAGACAUCGCUGGGUAAGCCUACAUUUAUUACCCAUCCCAAGGACAAUUCAGAAUCAACCACACUGCUGUGGGUCUGGAGUUACAUGUAGGCCAAAACCACCAGCCCCCGGACCCCGACAAAGGACAUUAGUGAACCAAAUUGGUCUUUCCAAUAAUCAAUUCAUAGUCAUCAUCAGACUCUUACUUCCAGAUAUUUAUUGAAUUCAAAUUCUGCCAUCUGCUGUGGUGGGAUUCAAACUUGGGUCCCCAAAACUUUCUAGAGUCUCUGAAUUAACAAUCCAUCGAUAAUACCACUAGGUCUUUGCCUCCUCUUAAACUCCCUCAAUGACCAGAUAGAACUUUGCCUUAACUACCCUUUAGGUAGUAGCAGGGAGUUUUCCUGAUCUCUCAACGAAUCUUUCAGUUUCAAUUGAUGCAUCCAACAGAAUUCACAGGUCAUUUAUUUCUUUGUUGAUGUUGGAUUUACUGUGUAAAAAAUGACUGCCACAUUCACCAAUGAAAUUCAUUGUUUGUUAUGUAGGCCUGUUAUUGAGAGUGUCUUAAGAUGUCAGUGGAUAGCCUCAGUCAGGAUCUAAUUUUGAUGAUUCAGUGGUGUAUUUCUCAGUCAUAUUGCAAGACAACAGUGCUGCCCAUUUGAGUAUGGGCAAACAAUAUGCUAGGAUUCGAUAUGUUGGGAAUUCCAAGCAACUAUUUGAUUUUAUUCAGUCAUGGAUACAGGCAUCUCUGACUAUGCCAGCGUUUAUUGCCCAUCUCUAAUUGUUCAGAGGGCAGUUAAGGGUCAAGCACAUUGCUGUGGGUCUGAAGUCAAAUGUGGGCCACACCAGGAAGGUUAGCAGUUUCUUUCCCUAAAGGACAUUAGUGAACCAGGUGGUUUGUCCAACAAUCAUUAACAGUUUAAUUGUCAUCAUUAAACUCUUAAUUCCAGAUUCUUUAUUGAAUUCAAAUUCCACCAUCUGCCAUGAUUUGAACCCAGGUCCCCAGAACGUUAGCGAGUUCCUGGAUUGAUUGUCUGGCAAUAAUACCACUAGGCCAUCGCCUGCCAAAAUUAGGAGCAGAAUCUUAGAAAAGACCCUAUCCACUUUGCCCAGAUAAUAAAAUGUGAGGCUGGAUGAUCACAGCAGGCCAAGCAGCAUCUCAGGAGCACAAAAGCUGACGUUUCGGGCCUAGACCCUUCAUCAGAGAGGGGGAUGGGGAGAGGGAACUGGAAUAAAUAGGGAGAGAGGGGGAGGCGGA
Stegostoma tigrinum is the source of this 4713-nucleotide long non-coding RNA. RefSeq lists it as uncharacterized. The transcript is spliced from 5 exons. The record is from RefSeq and is a predicted model, not a curated record. Lineage: Eukaryota; Metazoa; Chordata; Chondrichthyes; Orectolobiformes; Stegostomatidae.